RNAcentral lists this ribosomal RNA (1460 nucleotides) under uncultured organism. RNAcentral's name for it is "SSU rRNA". It matches the Rfam family "Bacterial small subunit ribosomal RNA". The record is from RNAcentral.
UGGCGGCAGGCCUAACACAUGCAAGUCGAACGGUAACAGGAAGAAGCUUGCUUCUUUGCUGACGAGUGGCGGACGGGUGAGUAAUGUCUGGGAAACUGCCUGAUGGAGGGGGAUAACUACUGGAAACGGUAGCUAAUACCGCAUAACGUCGCAAGACCAAAGAGGGGGACCUUCGGGCCUCUUGCCAUCGGAUGUGCCCAGAUGGGAUUAGCUUGUUGGUGGGGUAACGGCUCACCAAGGCGACGAUCCCUAGCUGGUCUGAGAGGAUGACCAGCCACACUGGAACUGAGACACGGUCCAGACUCCUACGGGAGGCAGCAGUGGGGAAUAUUGCACAAUGGGCGCAAGCCUGAUGCAGCCAUGCCGCGUGUAUGAAGAAGGCCUUCGGGUUGUAAAGUACUUUCAGCGGGGAGGAAGGGAGUAAAGUUAAUACCUUUGCUCAUUGACGUUACCCGCAGAAGAAGCACCGGCUAACUCCGUGCCAGCAGCCGCGGUAAUACGGAGGGUGCAAGCGUUAAUCGGAAUUACUGGGCGUAAAGCGCACGCAGGCGGUUUGUUAAGUCAGAUGUGAAAUCCCCGGGCUCAACCUGGGAACUGCAUCUGAUACUGGCAAGCUUGAGUCUCGUAGAGGGGGGUAGAAUUCCAGGUGUAGCGGUGAAAUGCGUAGAGAUCUGGAGGAAUACCGGUGGCGAAGGCGGCCCCCUGGACGAAGACUGACGCUCAGGUGCGAAAGCGUGGGGAGCAAACAGGAUUAGAUACCCUGGUAGUCCACGCCGUAAACGAUGUCGACUUGGAGGUUGUGCCCUUGAGGCGUGGCUUCCGGAGCUAACGCGUUAAGUCGACCGCCUGGGGAGUACGGCCGCAAGGUUAAAACUCAAAUGAAUUGACGGGGGCCCGCACAAGCGGUGGAGCAUGUGGUUUAAUUCGAUGCAACGCGAAGAACCUUACCUGGUCUUGACAUCCACAGAACUUUCCAGAGAUGGAUUGGUGCCUUCGGGAACUGUGAGACAGGUGCUGCAUGGCUGUCGUCAGCUCGUGUUGUGAAAUGUUGGGUUAAGUCCCGCAACGAGCGCAACCCUUAUCCUUUGUUGCCAGCGGUCCGGCCGGGAACUCAAAGGAGACUGCCAGUGAUAAACUGGAGGAAGGUGGGGAUGACGUCAAGUCAUCAAGGCCCUUACGACCAGGGCUACACACGUGCUACAAUGGCGCAUACAAAGAGAAGCGACCUCGCGAGAGCAAGCGGACCUCAUAAAGUGCGUCGUAGUCCGGAUUGGAGUCUGCAACUCGACUCCAUGAAGUCGGAAUCGCUAGUAAUCGUGGAUCAGAAUGCCACGGUGAAUACGUUCCCGGGCCUUGUACACACCGCCCGUCACACCAUGGGAGUGGGUUGCAAAAGAAGUAGGUAGCUUAACCUUCGGGAGGGCGCUUACCACUUUGUGAUUCAUGACUGGGGUGAAGUA